This 75-nucleotide transfer RNA is filed under the name Woeseiaceae bacterium. Its description in RNAcentral is "tRNA-Asn". It matches the Rfam family "tRNA". From Rfam's summary of the family: Transfer RNA (tRNA) molecules are approximately 80 nucleotides in length. Their secondary structure includes four short double-helical elements and three loops (D, anti-codon, and T loops). Further hydrogen bonds mediate the characteristic L-shaped molecular structure. tRNAs have two regions of fundamental functional importance: the anti-codon, which is responsible for specific mRNA codon recognition, and the 3' end, to which the tRNAs corresponding amino acid is attached (by aminoacyl-tRNA synthetases). tRNAs cope with the degeneracy of the genetic code in two manners: having more than one tRNA (with a specific anti-codon) for a particular amino acid; and 'wobble' base-pairing, i.e. permitting non-standard base-pairing at the 3rd anti-codon position. Lineage: Bacteria; Pseudomonadati; Pseudomonadota; Gammaproteobacteria; Woeseiales; Woeseiaceae. The record is from RNAcentral.
UGGCAUGUAGUUCAAAAGCAGAACGCCCGGCUGUUACCCGGGAAGAUGCGGGUGCAAGACCUGCCGUGCCAGCCA